UGGGGGAUAUUGCACAAUGGGCGCAAGCCUGAUGCAGCGACGCCGCGUGGGGGAUGAAGGCCUUCGGGUUGUAAACUUCUUUUGCUCUGAACAAGGCGCACUUUGGGGUGUGUUGAGUGUAGGGGUUGAUUAGCGCCGGCUAACUACGUGCCAGCAGCCGCGGUAAUACGUAGGGCGCGAGCGUUGUCCGGAAUUAUUGGGCGUAAAGGGCUUGUAGGUGGCUGGUUGCGUCUGUCGUGAAAGCUCAUGGCUUAACUGUGGGUUUGCGGUGGGUACGGGCUGGCUUGAGUGCAGUAGGGGAGGCUGGAAUUCCUGGUGUAGCGGUGGAAUGCGCAGAUAUCAGGAUGAAUACCGGUGGCGAAGGCGGGUCUCUGGGCUGUUACUGACACUGAGGAGCGAAAGCAUGGGGAGCGAACAGG
RNAcentral lists this ribosomal RNA (419 nucleotides) under bacterium. Its description in RNAcentral is "partial 16S ribosomal RNA". It matches the Rfam family "Bacterial small subunit ribosomal RNA", at positions 355 to 776 of the family's 1533-position model. The record is from RNAcentral.